This 1069-nucleotide ribosomal RNA is filed under the name Salmonella enterica subsp. enterica serovar Infantis. RNAcentral's name for it is "partial 23S ribosomal RNA". It matches the Rfam family "Bacterial large subunit ribosomal RNA", at positions 690 to 1756 of the family's 2925-position model. The record is from RNAcentral. Lineage: Bacteria; Pseudomonadati; Pseudomonadota; Gammaproteobacteria; Enterobacterales; Enterobacteriaceae.
GGGCGUUAAGUUGCAGGGUAUAGACCCGAAACCCGGUGAUCUAGCCAUGGGCAGGUUGAAGGUUGGGUAACACUAACUGGAGGACCGAACCGACUAAUGUUGAAAAAUUAGCGGAUGACCUGUGGCUGGGGGUGAAAGGCCAAUCAAACCGGGAGAUAGCUGGUUCUCCCCGAAAGCUAUUUAGGUAGCGCCUCGUGAAUUCAUCUCCGGGGGUAGAGCACUGUUUCGGCUAGGGGGCCAUCCCGGCUUACCAACCCGAUGCAAACUGCGAAUACCGGAGAAUGUUAUCACGGGAGACACACGGCGGGUGCUAACGUCCGUCGUGAAGAGGGAAACAACCCAGACCGCCAGCUAAGGUCCCAAAGUCAUGGUUAAGUGGGAAACGAUGUGGGAAGGCCCAGACAGCCAGGAUGUUGGCUUAGAAGCAGCCAUCAUUUAAAGAAAGCGUAAUAGCUCACUGGUCGAGUCGGCCUGCGCGGAAGAUGUAACGGGGCUAAACCAUGCACCGAAGCUGCGGCAGCGACACUCAGGUGUUGUUGGGUAGGGGAGCGUUCUGUAAGCCUGCGAAGGUGGCCUGUGAGGGUUGCUGGAGGUAUCAGAAGUGCGAAUGCUGACAUAAGUAACGAUAAAGCGGGUGAAAAGCCCGCUCGCCGGAAGACCAAGGGUUCCUGUCCAACGUUAAUCGGGGCAGGGUGAGUCGACCCCUAAGGCGAGGCCGAAAGGCGUAGUCGAUGGGAAACGGGUUAAUAUUCCCGUACUUGGUGUUACUGCGAAGGGGGGACGGAGAAGGCUAUGUUGGCCGGGCGACGGUUGUCCCGGUUUAAGCGUGUAGGUGUGUGUUCCAGGUAAAUCCGGUUCACUUUAACACUGAGGCGUGAUGACGAGGCACUACGGUGCUGAAGCAACAAAUGCCCUGCUUCCAGGAAAAGCCUCUAAGCAUCAGGUAACAUCAAAUCGUACCCCAAACCGACACAGGUGGUCAGGUAGAGAAUACCAAGGCGCUUGAGAGAACUCGGGUGAAGGAACUAGGCAAAAUGGUGCCGUAACUUCGGGAGAAGGCACGCUGACA